GAUGAACGCUGGCGGCGUGCCUAAUACAUGCAAGUCGAGCGAACGGACGAGGAGCUUGCUUCUCUGAUGUUAGCGGCGGACGGGUGAGUAACACGUGGAUAACCUACCUAUAAGACUGGGAUAACUUCGGGAAACCGGAGCUAAUACCGGAUGAUAUUUUGAACCGCAUGGUUCAAAAGUGAAAGACGGUCUUGCUGUCACUUAUAGAUGGAUCCGCGCUGCAUUAGCUAGUUGGUAAGGUAACGGCUUACCAAGGCAACGAUGCAUAGCCGACCUGAGAGGGUGAUCGGCCACACUGGAACUGAGACACGGUCCAGACUCCUACGGGAGGCAGCAGUAGGGAAUCUUCCGCAAUGGGCGAAAGCCUGACGGAGCAACGCCGCGUGAGUGAUGAAGGUCUUCGGAUCGUAAAACUCUGUUAUUAGGGAAGAACAUAUGUGUAAGGAACUGUGCACAUCUUGACGGUACCUAAUCAGAAAGCCACGGCUAACUACGUG
Molecule: ribosomal RNA, 497 nt
Filed under: uncultured bacterium
Lineage: Bacteria
Description: partial 16S ribosomal RNA
Rfam family: Bacterial small subunit ribosomal RNA
Source: RNAcentral